Molecule: long non-coding RNA, 1269 nt
Filed under: Homo sapiens (human)
Lineage: Eukaryota; Metazoa; Chordata; Mammalia; Primates; Hominidae
Description: HSALNT0213809
Source: RNAcentral
GGAUCAUAAGUUUCCCUGAGAAGUUAGAAAUCUACUUUCUGUGCCUCAAGGAAGGCUGUAACAAGAAGAAAGGAUGGUGACGCCAAAAGAGAAAGACAAGUAUGUUGAUCAGAAGAUUUCUGCAUUGAGUCUAUACGAAUGCAUGAACUCUUCUGGAAAUAGCCCUUACCUGAGCAAAUGGAACCAUAAACACCAAUGGAGAAAGAUGUAGAACUUCUUCUCGUGCCCUCGCAGGCAUCUCGCAUUGUCAGGAAUUGGUUCUUAGGUCACAGGUGAUGAAAAGACUCAAUAUAGACUCUACUUGCAAGCAUAGAGGAAUUUGAAAUGCUCAGUUCACCAACUCUCAUACUUUGUUUAGUUGUUUGCUAUUCAUUUAGUUGAUCCUCAAACUGCCGGGGUUGGGGGGUGGUGUGAGACAUAUGGAAAGUUAUUCAACGUCGCAAAAUGGCAUAAGGAAGUAAAACAACUCAGUUGUGCACCGUUGUGGUAAUUGGAACGUGUUUUACAAGCCUUGGAGUUCCUUGGUCCUUGGGCCAUAAAGCCCCAGCUAUGUGGAUAUAAGUUGAGUCUGACAGCUAACUAAUAAAAUAUGUCUUAGGACAAUAGACUCACUUCCUAGCCUACUGUCCUUCCUUAUGCUAACUAGUCUUUUAUCUUCAAAGGCUGAGAAAAUGAUGCUUCUGCUCAUGAUGAAGCUGUUGUUGGUGAUGCCAGUGGUGGUGCCCUCUAAAAAGUGUGGCUUUGAACUUCAGCCAACAGCACUAAUUUUGCUUCUUGAAUGUGUCUAUCCAAAGAGCUACUUUUUCUAAAUAAAGUUACAUCAGCAUAUGGCAAAAAAACUAAUAAUUUCAGUACUUAUAAAGUAGCUCCUUUUGAGUACACCAGUAAAAAUGUUAAAUGUUUUGGCAUGUGUAUUUUAUUCCUUAUGUUUGUAGUGGUUAAAAAUCAUUUUUCUUAUCUCUGUAGAAGAUUAAUCCCAAACUUGCAUAAGCAUUUUUAUAGUUUGUUCGAUAUAAGAAUUACAUGGAAGUUUUAUUGUUUGAAAGUUUUAGAACACAUUCCAAGCUAUAUUUCUGUUUUCAGUGGGUCAUAAUUUUUAAUUUCUAUAAUUUCCUUUUUUUUUAAUUCUGUAUGCUCUGUUAUGCCACUCAAUAUUAGUGAUUGCUUCACUAAAAGUUUUCUAAUUAUUCUUCAUUUGUAAUAUAAUCUAAGAUGUUUAAAAUACUAUUCUGGUUAGAAUAUAUUGAGUUUUUUAGAAAACAAAACUUU